Molecule: ribosomal RNA, 448 nt
Filed under: uncultured bacterium
Lineage: Bacteria
Description: bacterial SSU rRNA
Rfam family: Bacterial small subunit ribosomal RNA
Source: RNAcentral
UCGAGAAUUUUUCUCAAUGGGCGAAAGCCUGAAGGAGCGACGCCGCGUGGGGGAUGAAUGGCUUCGGCCCGUAAACCCCUGUCAUUUGCGAACAAACCUUUUCACUUAACACGUGAAAAGCUGAUUGUAGCGAAAGAGGAAGGGACGGCUAACUCUGUGCCAGCAGCCGCGGUAAUACAGAGGUCCCAAGCGUUGUUCGGAUUCACUGGGCGUAAAGGGUGCGUAGGUGGCCGGGUAAGUCUGAUGUGAAAGCUCGGAGCUUAACUCCGAAAUGGCAUUGGAUACUAUCCGGCUAGAGGGUCGGAGGGGGGACUGGAAUUCUCGGUGUAGCAGUGAAAUGCGUAGAUAUCGAGAGGAACACCAGUGGCGAAGGCGAGUCCCUGGACGACUCCUGACACUGAGGCACGAAAGCUAGGGGAGCAAACAGGAUUAGAUACCCCCGUAGUCC